RNAcentral lists this ribosomal RNA (496 nucleotides) under uncultured bacterium. Its description in RNAcentral is "partial 16S ribosomal RNA". It matches the Rfam family "Bacterial small subunit ribosomal RNA", at positions 29 to 507 of the family's 1533-position model. The record is from RNAcentral.
ACGCACGCUGGCGGCGUGCCUAAUACAUGCAAGUAGCACGCUGAAGAGAGGAGCUUGCUCUUCUUGGAUGAGUUGCGAACGGGUGAGUAACGCGUAGGUAACCUGCCUUGUAGCGGGGGAUAACUAUUGGAAACGAUAGCUAAUACCGCAUAACAAUAGGUGACACAUGUCAUUUAUUUGAAAGGGGCAAUUGCUCCACUACAAGAUGGACCUGCGUUGUAUUAGCUAGUAGGUGAGGUAACGGCUCACCUAGGCGACGAUACAUAGCCGACCUGAGAGGGUGAUCGGCCACACUGGGACUGAGACACGGCCCAGACUCCUACGGGAGGCAGCAGUAGGGAAUCUUCGGCAAUGGGGGCAACCCUGACCGAGCAACGCCGCGUGAGUGAAGAAGGUUUUCGGAUCGUAAAGCUCUGUUGUAAGUCAAGAACGAGUGUGAGAGUGGAAAGUUCACACUGUGACGGUAGCUUACCAGAAAGGGACGGCUAACUACGUG